UGUCUUUUAAAUGAAGACCUGUAUGAAUGGCAUAACGAGGGCUUAACUGUCUCCUCCCCCCAGUCAAUGAAAUUGAUCUCCCCGUGCAGAAGCGGGGAUAACAACAUAAGACGAGAAGACCCUGUGGAGCUUAAAAUCACGAACAGACCAUGUCAAGAAUAACAAACAAGAACAUCAAACAAAUUGGCCACUGUUUAUGUAUUUUUGGUUGGGGCGACCGCGGGGCAAUAAAUAACCCCCAUGUGGACUAAGAAAACAUUCUUAAAACUAAGAGCCCCCGCUCUAAGUAACAGAACUUCUGACCUUAAUGAUCCGGCCUGGCCGAUCAACGAACCCAGUUACCCCAGGGAUAACAGCGCAAUCCUCUUCUAGAGCCCAUAUCGACAAGAGGGUUUACGACCUCGAUGUUGGAUCAGGACAUCCUAAUGGUGUAGCCGCUAUUAAGGGUUUGUUUGUUCAACAAUUAAAGU
RNAcentral lists this ribosomal RNA (470 nucleotides) under Oryzias marmoratus (marmorated medaka). RNAcentral's name for it is "partial 16S ribosomal RNA". It matches the Rfam family "Bacterial large subunit ribosomal RNA", at positions 1970 to 2594 of the family's 2925-position model. The record is from RNAcentral. Lineage: Eukaryota; Metazoa; Chordata; Actinopteri; Beloniformes; Adrianichthyidae. RNAcentral also lists the same sequence under 1 other name.